This 136-nucleotide ribosomal RNA is filed under the name Ochotona princeps (American pika). Lineage: Eukaryota; Metazoa; Chordata; Mammalia; Lagomorpha; Ochotonidae. The record is from RNAcentral.
GUCUACGGCCAUACCACCCUGAAUGCACCCGAUCUCGUCUGAUAUCAGAAGCUAAGCAGGGUUGGGCCUGGUUAGUACUUGGAUGGGAGACAUUGCCCUUUUUUGCUCAGUUGUUCAUGUUAAGUCCCUUUAAACA